This 404-nucleotide ribosomal RNA is filed under the name uncultured bacterium. RNAcentral's name for it is "partial 16S ribosomal RNA". It matches the Rfam family "Bacterial small subunit ribosomal RNA", at positions 28 to 526 of the family's 1533-position model. The record is from RNAcentral.
GACGAACGCUGGCGGCGUGCUUAACACAUGCAAGUCGAGCGGAGCGGCGAACGGGUGAGUAACGCGUGAGUAACUGCCCCCCUCUCUGGGAUCACAGUUGGAAACGGUAGCUAAUACCGGAUAGUGGGGGAUGACUCGCGUCCUAUCAGAUUGUUGGUGGGGUAGUGGCCUACGAAGUCGACGACGGGUAGCCGGCCUGAGAGGGAGACCGGCCACAAGGGGCUGAGAUACGGCCCAAACUCCUACGGGAGGCAGCGGUGGGGAAUAUUGCACAAUGGGGGAAACCCUGAUGCAGCAACGCGCGUGCGGAAUGACGGCCUUCGGGUUGUAAACCGCUUUCAGCCAUGACGCGGUAGUGGCAGAAGAAGCACCGGCUAACUACGUGCCAGCAGCCGCGGUAAUUC